RNAcentral lists this transfer RNA (69 nucleotides) under Marmota marmota marmota (Alpine marmot). It matches the Rfam family "tRNA". Rfam says of the family: Transfer RNA (tRNA) molecules are approximately 80 nucleotides in length. RNAcentral also lists the same sequence under 1 other name. The record is from Rfam by way of RNAcentral. Lineage: Eukaryota; Metazoa; Chordata; Mammalia; Rodentia; Sciuridae.
GGAGUUGUAGCUCAGUGGAAGAGCACUUGCCUAGUAUGUGAGAGGAACUGGGUUCAAUUCUCAGCACCA